RNAcentral lists this ribosomal RNA (2056 nucleotides) under Triticum aestivum (bread wheat). Its description in RNAcentral is "partial small subunit ribosomal RNA". Lineage: Eukaryota; Viridiplantae; Streptophyta; Magnoliopsida; Poales; Poaceae. The record is from RNAcentral.
ACAUUAACCACACCCGGAGUCACAACGCUGCCGUCGCCUCGGUCACGCGCCGCCGCCCCGCUUCUCCCCGCCGUCCCUCCCUCCCCAGCCUGCGUCGUUACCAUUGCCGUCCCUUCUCCUUUCUCCUCACCUCCUCCGUUCCUCCCCUGCCAUCGGUGGGGUCGCUGCCGCCAUCCUUCCCACCGCCGCCGUCUCCGUCCUGCUGCCCCGACCUCACCCAGAACCCUAGCUCGCCCUAGGCCGUGUUUCCGCUGCCGAUUGGUCCAUCCGUGAGUUGUUUGCUCCCGUUUCCGCGUCGUCGUCUAUGAGUCUAGCAGCCGAAUCGCCGUCGCCGUCCCCGUCGUCGUCGAGCGGCAGCGACGAUUUCGCUGCGCUCCUAGACGCGGAGCUGGAUCUCGCCUCUGCCGUCGACUCCGCCUCUGCGGGCGACCCCUCCACAUCACCCACAAGCAGCGAUGACAAAGAGGACGACGAUGAAGACGCGGUGGCCGAUGUAGAAACCGUGGAGCAGAGCAGUGCCAAAAGGCGUAAAGUGAAGGUGCAAUACCAAGAUCGAGAAACGGCAAUAAGGCCUGACGAAGAUUCCAUUGGUUCAUCUGAAGAUGCUCAAAUCAAGAUAUGUCCUCCACAUCCUGGAUAUUUUGGUGGACUUUGCUUUAGGUGUGGGAAAAGACAAGACGAGGAAGAUGUUCCAGGGGUUGCUUUUGGUUAUGUCCACAAGGGUUUGAGGCUAGGUACAUCAGAAAUUGACAGAUUGCGUGGAUCUGAUUUGAAGAAUUUGCUGCGUGAAAGAAAACUGAUACUUAUUUUAGACUUGGACCAUACACUUAUCAACUCGACAAAACUCCAUGAUAUUUCUGCUGCUGAAAAUAACCUGGGAAUUCAGACUGCUGCAUCAAAAGACGAUCCAAAUGGAAGCUUGUUCACAUUAGAAGGAAUGCAGAUGCUUACAAAGUUGAGACCCUUUGUCCGUAAAUUUCUAAAAGAAGCAAGCAAUAUGUUUGAGAUGUAUAUAUACACCAUGGGCGACAAGGCUUAUGCAAUUGAAAUAGCAAAGCUUCUUGACCCUCGUAAUGUCUAUUUUAAUUCCAAAGUGAUUUCAAACUCUGACUGCACACAGCGACACCAGAAAGGUCUUGAUAUGGUUCUUGGAGCUGAAAGUGUUGCCGUGAUUCUUGAUGAUACUGAGUAUGUCUGGCAGAAGCAUAAAGAAAACCUAAUACUGAUGGAGAGAUAUCAUUACUUUGCUUCGAGCUGUCGCCAGUUUGGUUUUAGCGUCAAAUCUCUGUCAGAGUUGAUGCAAGAUGAAAGGGGGAGUGAUGGUGCUUUGGCCACUAUCUUAGAUGUUCUGAAGCGUAUACACACGAUUUUCUUUGACUCGGCUGUUGAAACUGCUCUUUCUUCACGGGAUGUAAGACAGGUAAUCAAGAGGGUACGGCAAGAAGUACUGCAAGGCUGCAAAUUAGUCUUCAGUCGGGUGUUCCCGUCCAGUUCUCGCCCACAGGAUCAGUUUAUCUGGAAGAUGGCCGAGCAGCUGGGAGCCAUUUGUUCCGCGGACGUGGAUUCCACUAUCACCCAUGUUGUCGCUGUGGAUGUUGGAACUGAUAAGGCCCGUUGGGCAGUUAAGAACAACAAGAUCCUGGUCCACCCCCGCUGGAUUGAAGCCUCAAAUUUCCGGUGGCACCGGCAGCAGGAGGAAGAUUUUCCCGUGAAGGUGAAGAAGAAUGAAAAGGACAAGGAAAAUGAUGUUGCUGCUGCCACUGGUCCAGCGAAUGAAAAGGAUAAAGAAGAUGAUGUUGUUGCUGUUGUCACUGAUCCAGCGAAUGAAAAGGAUAAAGACGAUGUUGCUCCUGCUGCGACUGAUCCAGCGAAUGAACAGGAUAAAAAAAACGAUGUUGCUGCUGCUGUCACUGAUUCAAUGAACUCAUAAGAUACACAGAAUUGGUUAAGUGCACGUUUUAAGGGGAUUAAUUAAACUUUUGUGACAUGUACCGUAGGUACGAGCAGUGGAACAGAAAGCUCAGCAUUUUUGGAUAUGGUUUCGCUGAUCCUUUCU